RNAcentral lists this ribosomal RNA (467 nucleotides) under uncultured bacterium. RNAcentral's name for it is "partial 16S ribosomal RNA". It matches the Rfam family "Bacterial small subunit ribosomal RNA", at positions 29 to 507 of the family's 1533-position model. The record is from RNAcentral.
ACGAACGCUGGCGGCGUGCUUAACACCUGCAAGUCGAACGGAAAGGCCCUGCUUUUGUGGGGUGCUCGAGUGGCGAACGGGUGAGUAACACGUGAGUAACCUGCCCUUGACUUUGGGAUAACUUCAGGAAACUGGGGCUAAUACCGGAUAGGAGCUCCUGCUGCAUGGUGGGGGUUGGAAAGUUUCGGCGGUUGGGGAUGGACUCGCGGCUUUUCAGCUUGUUGGUGGGGUAGUGGCUUACCAAGGCUUUGACGGGUAGCCGGCCUGAGAGGGUGACCGGCCAAAUUGGGACUGAGAUACGGCCCAGACUCCUACGGGAGGCAGCAGUGGGGAAUAUUGCACAAUGGGCGGAAGCCUGAUGCAGCAACGCCGCGUGCGGGAUGACGGCCUUCGGGUUGUAAACCGCUUUCGCCUGUGACGAAGCGUGAGUGACGGUAAUGGGUAAAGAAGCACCGGCUAACUACGUG